CCUUUUAUAAGUCCCGAUUCACAUCUCUUUUUAGCAUUCUACUAAGACCCUCAGUCGCUAUAUUGAAAAGAGAUGCUGAUAAAGAGUCCCCUCUUCGCAAUCCCUUUUCCAUAAAGAACUCUACAAGAAUUGGAAGUUUUGUUGUCGAAAUACAUUAUUAUAUCCAUCAUCUCCAUCGUGAACCAAAACCCACACAAGCCAUAACUGUCGAAAUACCUGGGCAGUAAUUGUUUUGCGUGGUUUAGGAUUAUGUGUGAUAGCACUGAAAGGCGAGUGAUCCAACUCUCUCUUGGGGGUGCUGGGGAUUGGGGGUUAGGCGAGUGGGUUCUCAACGCAUCUUUGUUUCUGCCUUUCAAAGAAUUGCAAAGUCUUGAUUUGAAGGUUACUGAAUUAGUUGGGUGCCUUUGAGAAUCAAGGCUUCGGAGUGUUGAAGCCUUGUAUUAAAUUUCGCUAGUUCUCCAACUUCAGAGGAUCUUAGCAUGGGAGCACUGGAUUUGUUGUGGUUGCUGGUGGGGGGAAUCAAUGGUUUGCUUCUUGCAUUCUUGGCCCAAAAUUGUGUUAGUUCGAAACUUGUCGGCAAUUUUCUUGAAUGUGUACAGCUAAUGGGUGCUUUUUAGUGUGUUGACCUCAUAGCUUAGCCUUAUUGUUGAUCGUUUCAAUAGAGAAGUGUUGUAACUAUAUUUAUCUGUGGAAUCCUAAGUCUGUCUUAUUUAAUUAAUUUGUUUUCGCUAUUU
This is a long non-coding RNA of Populus nigra (black poplar), 734 nucleotides long. RefSeq lists it as uncharacterized. The transcript has 2 exons. The record is from RefSeq and is a predicted model, not a curated record. Lineage: Eukaryota; Viridiplantae; Streptophyta; Magnoliopsida; Malpighiales; Salicaceae.